UUCAUAAUGAUCUAAACGUUCUCUUGGUUUUACCUCUUCUCUCCCUAGAGUUAUCUUAGCUACGGGAACACCUAAGGGUCACAAUAAACGCCUACCAUGGCUAACAAGGACCACAAGGACAGGCUUGCCAACGUACACUCCGGAUAUUAAUGGGAUACCUCACACCCUUAGAGAGAAAUAAGUACCUCACAUAAAAUAGAUCAGAUAUGAAACAAGAUAAAUGAUUUAAUACUUAGAAAU
Molecule: long non-coding RNA, 240 nt
Filed under: Nicotiana benthamiana
Lineage: Eukaryota; Viridiplantae; Streptophyta; Magnoliopsida; Solanales; Solanaceae
Description: long non-coding RNA (NBEN_LNC035388)
Source: RNAcentral